UACGGAGGGUGCAAGCGUUUAUCCGGAUUCACUGGGUUUAAAGGGUGCGUAGGUGGGUCUGUAAGUCAGUGGUGAAAUCUCCAAGCUUAACUUGGAAACUGCCAUUGAUACUAUAGGUCUUGAAUAUCCUGGAGGUGAGCGGAAUAUGUCAUGUAGCGGUGAAAUGCUUAGAUAUGACAUAGAACACCAAUUGCGAAGGCAGCUCACUACGGGAUUAUUGACACUGAGGCACGAAAGCGUGGGGAUCAAACAGG
This 254-nucleotide ribosomal RNA is filed under the name uncultured bacterium. RNAcentral describes it as "partial 16S ribosomal RNA". It matches the Rfam family "Bacterial small subunit ribosomal RNA", at positions 524 to 776 of the family's 1533-position model. The record is from RNAcentral.